CCCUUAGAUGUUCUGGGCCGCACGCGCGCUACACUGAUGCAUUCAACGAGUCUAAAACCUGGUCUGAUAGGGCUGGGUAAUCUUUUGAAUGUGCAUCGUGAUUGGGAUAGAUGAUUGCAAUUCUUCAUCUUCAACGAGGAAUGCCUAGCAAACGCAAGUCAUCAGCUUGCAUUGAUUACGUCCCUGCCCUUUGUACACACCGCCCGUCGCUCCUACCGAUUGAAUGUUCCGAUGAAUACCAUGGACUGAGAGUAUGAAUGGGUUCGCCUAUUUCUGCUUCUCGGGAAGUGGAGUAAAUCUUAACAUUUAGAGGAAGGAGAAGUCGUAACA
This 330-nucleotide ribosomal RNA is filed under the name uncultured eukaryote. RNAcentral describes it as "partial 18S ribosomal RNA". It matches the Rfam family "Eukaryotic small subunit ribosomal RNA", at positions 1470 to 1796 of the family's 1831-position model. The record is from RNAcentral.